Molecule: small nuclear RNA, 102 nt
Filed under: Chinchilla lanigera (long-tailed chinchilla)
Lineage: Eukaryota; Metazoa; Chordata; Mammalia; Rodentia; Chinchillidae
Source: RNAcentral
GUGGUCCCUUUGGCAGCAUAUAUAAUAAAAUUGUAACAAUAGAGAUUAGCAUGGCCCCUGCGCAAAGAUGACAUGUAAAUUCAUGAAGUGUUCCACAUUUUU